CUGGAGUGACCGGGUCCAGCGUGCGCUCGUCUUGUCGCCGGCGGCUCCACUGUCG
Molecule: transfer RNA, 55 nt
Filed under: Alexandrium andersonii
Lineage: Eukaryota; Dinophyceae; Gonyaulacales; Pyrocystaceae
Description: partial tRNA
Source: RNAcentral